This 484-nucleotide ribosomal RNA is filed under the name uncultured bacterium. RNAcentral's name for it is "partial 16S ribosomal RNA". It matches the Rfam family "Bacterial small subunit ribosomal RNA", at positions 28 to 507 of the family's 1533-position model. The record is from RNAcentral.
AUUGAACGCUGGCGGCAUGCUUUACACAUGCAAGUCGAACGGCAGCGCGGGCUUCGGCCUGGCGGCGAGUGGCGAACGGGUGAGUAAUGCAUCGGAACGUGCCCAGUAGUGGGGGAUAGCCCGGCGAAAGCCGGAUUAAUACCGCAUACGACCUGAGGGUGAAAGCGGGGGACCGAAAGGCCUCGCGCUAUUGGAGCGGCCGAUGUCGGAUUAGCUAGUUGGUGGGGUAAAGGCUUACCAAGGCGACGAUCCGUAGCUGGUCUGAGAGGACGACCAGCCACACUGGGACUGAGACACGGCCCAGACUCCUACGGGAGGCAGCAGUGGGGAAUUUUGGACAAUGGGGGCAAGCCUGAUCCAGCCAUGCCGCGUGCGGGAAGAAGGCCUUCGGGUUGUAAACCGCUUUUGUUCGGGAAGAAAUCCUCUUGGUUAAUACCCCGGGGUGAUGACGGUACCGGAAGAAUAAGCACCGGCUAACUACGUG